RNAcentral lists this ribosomal RNA (464 nucleotides) under Vreelandella stevensii. RNAcentral describes it as "partial 16S ribosomal RNA". It matches the Rfam family "Bacterial small subunit ribosomal RNA", at positions 338 to 795 of the family's 1533-position model. Lineage: Bacteria; Pseudomonadati; Pseudomonadota; Gammaproteobacteria; Oceanospirillales; Halomonadaceae. The record is from RNAcentral.
CCUACGGGGGCUGCAGUGGGGAAUAUUGGACAAUGGGCGAAAGCCUGAUCCAGCCAUGCCGCGUGUGUGAAGAAGGCCUUCGGGUUGUAAAGCACUUUCAGUGGGGAAGAAAGCCUUGGGGCUAAUACCCUCGAGGAAGGACAUCACCCACAGAAGAAGCACCGGCUAACUCCGUGCCAGCAGCCGCGGUAAUACGGAGGGUGCGAGCGUUAAUCGGAAUUACUGGGCGUAAAGCGCGCGUAGGCGGUCUGAUAAGCCGGUUGUGAAAGCCCCGGGCUCAACCCGGGAACGGCAUCCGGAACUGUCAGGCUAGAGUGCAGGAGAGGAAGGUAGAAUUCCCGGUGUAGCGGUGAAAUGCGUAGAGAUCGGGAGGAAUACCAGUGGCGAAGGCGGCCUUCUGGACUGACACUGACGCUGAGGUGCGAAAGCGUGGGUAGCGAACAGGAUUAGAUACCCGUGUAGUC